UACGUAGGGCGCGAGCGUUGUCCGGAUUUAUUGGGCGUAAAGAGCGUGUAGGCGGCCAGAUAGGUCCGUUGUGAAAACUGGAGGCUUAACCUCCAGCUGUCGAUGGAAACCAUCUGGCUAGAGUCCGGAAGAGGAGAGUGGAAUUCCUGGUGUAGCGGUGAAAUGCGCAGAUAUCAGGAAGAACACCCGUGGCGAAGGCGGCUCUCUGGGACGGUACUGACGCUGAGACGCGAAAGCGUGGGGAGCGAACAGG
RNAcentral lists this ribosomal RNA (253 nucleotides) under uncultured bacterium. Its description in RNAcentral is "partial 16S ribosomal RNA". It matches the Rfam family "Bacterial small subunit ribosomal RNA", at positions 524 to 776 of the family's 1533-position model. The record is from RNAcentral.